GGGCCCGUGGCCUAGUUCGGAUCAUGGCGGUGGCCUUCGGAGCCACAGGACCUGGGUUCGAAUCCCAGCGGGCCCGCCA
This 79-nucleotide transfer RNA is filed under the name Candidatus Methanosuratincola sp. RNAcentral's name for it is "tRNA-Arg". It matches the Rfam family "tRNA". Rfam says of the family: Transfer RNA (tRNA) molecules are approximately 80 nucleotides in length. Lineage: Archaea; Thermoproteati; Thermoproteota; Methanosuratincolia; Candidatus Methanomethylicales; Candidatus Methanomethylicaceae. The record is from RNAcentral.